Molecule: RNA transcript, 1378 nt
Organism: Myotis brandtii (Brandt's bat)
Lineage: Eukaryota; Metazoa; Chordata; Mammalia; Chiroptera; Vespertilionidae
Exons: 3
Source: RefSeq, a predicted model, not a curated record
CAUUUUACGGAAAACAUCAGAACAUCCCCAAACUACAACAUGUUUAAGAGAAUGGAUUGGAGUAGGAGAUAAGUGUUUCUAUUUUUCUGCAGAUACUAAGAAUUGAACAGACAGUAAAAUAUUUUGCAGUUCACAGGGAUCAGAACUUGCUCAAAUUGAUACACCUGGAGAUAUGGACUUUUUGAAGAAGCACACAGGAACAUCUAUGCACUGGAUUGGGUUGAGCAGAAAACAAGGAGAGCCUUGGAAAUGGACAAAUGGUACCACAUUCAAUGCUUGGUUUGAAAUUGACGGGCAUGGAUUAUUUGCUUUUCUGAAUGCUGAUGGAGUUUCCAGUUCAAGGGGAUUUGUUGAUAUCAAGUGGAUUUGCAGCAAACCUAGAUUUUAAUAGAGAAAAAACUGGGAAAUGACUACCACAGUUUGGGAAUAGACUAGCCCUGGCUGGAUAGCUCAGUUGAUUGGAGCAUUGUCCCGUACACCAAAAGGUUGUGGGUUCCUGCUCAGGACAGAUACCUAGGUUUCAGGUUAGAUUCCAGGUGGGAGCACAUUCAGGAGGAAACAGAAUGAUGUUUCUCUCUUCUCUUUCUCUCUCUCUCAAAUCAAUAAACAGAUCCUCAGGUGAGCAUACCAAAAAUAAAGUGAAAGACUAAAGUUAUUUUUCACUUCUGAGGCUGUGAAAGUGUGGCAGGAUAGGAAGAAGUUAGGGAAAACUCCCAACAAGUAAAAUGAGGAAGCUGGAGGGGCAUCAUAGGAGGAUAAGUCUCUCGGUCAUCUCAUCAAAGCCCCCACCUGCAGGCAUGAUCAAACGGAAACAGUUUAUGUCAGAAAAAACUCCUGAGGUGGUCACAGAAAUCAAAGCUACAACCCGACCAGUCCAAGAUGAAGGAAACAUUGACCAGAGAAGAAGAUAAAGCGGGGAUAAAUGGUAAUGAAAGAAAGUUUGCCUUGGGAUGGUAAUCACAAUAUAAUACAGAUGAUGUACUGUAGAAUUGUAUUCCUGAAUCCUGUAUAAUUUUAUUAACCAAUAUCACCCCAAAAUUAAUCUUAAAAUGUCACCAUUAUAAUGAAAGCUGACACUAUAAGUAGAAGAGGUGGGGUGGUUGAGCGCCAUGACACUUCCAAAAUGGACCAUAUUGGGAACAGGAACCCCUCUCAACAUGAAGGCGGAGUCAGAAUUUGUGCAACAGAGUCCAGAAACAGCCCACCCUUGGAAACACAUAAAGUCCCAAGAACUGACUGUCACAGUGUGCAAUUCACUCGUGAAUUCACUUACAUCCGCUCCGGGAAACCAGACCAUGGCUCAACCCUGGACCUGUCUCCAGGAACCCGAGUUCUAGAUUCUUAUUCUCUACCUAAAUAAAACUUGCUUUUCUUCUCA